Molecule: transfer RNA, 711 nt
Filed under: Salmo salar (Atlantic salmon)
Lineage: Eukaryota; Metazoa; Chordata; Actinopteri; Salmoniformes; Salmonidae
Description: lncRNA (ENSSSAG00000118737.1)
Rfam family: tRNA (bases 320-391)
Source: RNAcentral
GAUUGCCAUCUUUUAUGGCGUCAUUUUCAAAAACUGAAGUUCAUGGGUUCGAUCCCAGUCUGUACCUGGUUUAAGAAUUGCUGCUAUCAUUUCCUUGUAGUUUCAAUGGAGUGGUGUAUAUAAAAAGUACAUUGUAUUGAUAUUGCAUUUUAUCUGCAAAUGAAAUGGGAUGGAAGCUCAGAGGGGGAGUGCAUGCAAAAUAUGUAUGAGGUCCUCGGUUCAAUCCCAAGAUUCUCCACUGAGUUUAUUUGUGUGCCAAAUUCACAUUUACACAACUACUACUUUCCUGAAUGUUGAUAUAUAAUUCAGAGUGUAGAGUGGCAUGGUGGCCAAGUGGUAAGGUGUUGGUCUUGUAAACCGAAGAUCAUGGGUUCAAAUCCCUUCUGUGCCUUUAUGAAAGACAUCUGAUAUCAUGGACCUGUGCAUUAAUUGGAGGACUUUGCAGAAAAUCAAGUUGUAUCAUUAUGGCAACUCAGCUAUUAUAGUAAGGGGAUGAAUCUCUAUGGUAGAGCCAGUACUUUACAUGAAUGCGGUCCAACGUUAAUCCCCAACUUCUCUGUUGAGUGUAAUUAGUUGUUAAAUUAGCUUUUGCACAACUCCCACUUUCCAGAAUGUUGACAUUCUAAGAAGGAAAUAGAUAUGCUAAAUCAUCUGUUUCUGUAAACUGAAGCACAUGGGUUCAAUCCUUGUUUGACGUUUAUGGAAGAUAGC